CUUGGGUGGGUCAUAGAGCUCCAGCUGGUACCUCUCACUAGCGUUGUGCUCGUUGAUCCUCCUGACCUGCAGGUGGCAGCGCAGCCAAUGCGGGGGUGUGUCUGAGAUAGUGUCAUCCACCUCCAGGUACCGCAGCUGUCCCUCUUUACAAACACUUCCUGUCUCUUGUUUUCGUCUCACAGUUCGCAACAAAUUCCAUCGUUCCCACCGCGCACCCUUCUGCGAGGUGCGAUGGGCGGGUACCUGCACAGUCUGAGGUGGGGUUUGAGAGGUGCACUCAACAGUCAUCGAGGGUCUGCCCCCCUUGAUCGAAUCGGCCCUUUGGCAACCACCUGAAGGUUCAUCAGUUUGGGGGGAUUUCUUAAAGAAUCGGCAUACGCGUUCUCGAAAUCCCCUGACGGAAAAGUUGGUUACGUCACUACGGGAGGGGAAGGAAAACAAAGUGGGCGAGUAUCGUUCAGACCCGGUCCUCUGCUCCAGGUGUUCGUCUUCCUGGCUAUGAUGCCGCGUUCUGCGUGUAGUGUCUGCGGGAGAGCAUCGCAGCAACUGCUCCUGUUCUCUAGGGAUGCCGGCGGCAUCUGGUUUGGGCGCCAACACGGCAACUAACGGAGUCACUCCUGGCCGCGCGGUCUCCCGGUAAUCCAGCACCCCUGAGAAGGAAGUGAUGCGCAAGCGGCCAGUCAUGGGCAGCAAAGGAGGAGGCGGCGGUGGCCAGAGGGUGGGUUCUGCAUCUUUAGCCACCUCACAGCUGAAGUGGUGCUGGAAGAGGGCGCUGAACUGCUCCGAGAAACUUUCCGGCGGGACCACAUCCUGCACCGACCGCUCUCUGACGAAGCGCCGGUAGUGCUACGGACGGUGCAGUGCUCGUGGUCUGCUGGAAAGUGUUACCAUUCAUUGCAUUAACCAGCACAGCAGGGAAUCACUGCGAACAACAGAUGGACAACAUUAAAAACUGCAUCAAUAAGCAAUAAAUUAUGAGACAGCGCUAUAUUGCGGCCAGGGGGCAGAAUAUUUCCAGUACAUUUC
Long non-coding RNA from Cyprinus carpio carpio, 1026 nucleotides. Lineage: Eukaryota; Metazoa; Chordata; Actinopteri; Cypriniformes; Cyprinidae. The record is from Ensembl.